UGGACCCAGCCUCGUGGGAGCCCCGCGGGUCCUGCCCAGAUGUGGAAGACUGAGGCCUGUUGAAAGUGCAGAGCUCAGCCCUGGCACCUUCUGUCCUCAAGAGCUCCAUGCAGGUGCCACAGGAUGGAGAAGACCUUGUUGGCCAACCCUGGUACCACGGCCUCCUGUCCCGCCAGGAGCCUCCACCACGCCCGUAUCUGCCUUGCCCCGAACGAGCAGUGACCCUGUGUUGCUGAAGGCCCCUGCUUCCCUGGGAACUGUUGCCGACAGUCUCAGGGCCUCCAAUGGGCAGCUUCAAGCCAAGGCACCAACGAAGCCCCCCCGGACACCCUCCUUCGAACUGCCUGAUGCCUCUGAACGUCCCCCAACGUACUGCGAGCUGGUGCCCCGAGUGCCCAGUGUCCAGGGAACAUCCCCGAGCCAAAGCUGCCCAGAGCCAGAGGCCCCAUGGUGGGAGGCCGAGGAAGAUGAGGAGGAAGAGAAUAGAUGUUUUACAAGACCACAGGCUGAGAUCUCUUUCUGCCCCCGAGAUGCCCCCUCCUGCCUGCUGGGGCCCCAGAAUCGGCCCCUGGAACCCCAAGUCCUG
RNAcentral lists this small RNA (586 nucleotides) under Pongo abelii (Sumatran orangutan). RNAcentral describes it as "processed transcript". Lineage: Eukaryota; Metazoa; Chordata; Mammalia; Primates; Hominidae. The record is from RNAcentral.